ACGACAAAGAACAAGAAUCACAGUUCCACAUAACGAAAUAUAUUCCCCAUUCGCCCCCGGACUCUACUAAGAGGGAGUAGAUUCUCUUUUUCUAUUUUUUUACACAAUAAAAAAAUAAAUAAAUAAAUAACACAAAGGAAUUUAUGUUUUUGACUGUUCUGUGUAGAGUCUAGGUUACCACUACAUCGUCAUAGUUGUGAUCAACCGAGUAUAAACCUUUACCUCUAUAUAAACUCUUUAACCAAAAAUUAAAACUCACUCACUCUCUCUCUUUCUCUCUCUAUCUCUCUCUCUCUCUCUCACACACAGACAAACUCGAAAAUUCAUAUAAGAUAUAUAGAAAAACAGAGAAGAAAGAGAAAAGAAGAAUGGCAGCAGAUUUAACGUUUCGGGGUGUACUUGAUGGAAGCUUGUCUAUGGGUGAAAUGGACAUCGAGCGGAGGCCAUAUCAUCGUGACUGCAAAUGUGCAUUGCACGAAAUUAAAGGCAGAUGUUUGCAUAGUACGGGGAAUAUUCCGUUUCCGAAAAGAGAAUUUAGAAGCAAAUGUUCCUUGUCACUAUCAUCUUCCAAUAUCUCUUCUCAAUCUUCGUAUCUUCAUAUUUGUAAAAAAAUAGAUUCUAGUUGCAGUAGGGUGCAAUGUCAAAACUCAGCAGAUACAAAGCUCGGCUGAUUUUUUUUUCCCGGUUUAAGGUCUUUUGUCACUCCUCUAGGCAUAUGCAGGACUCGAGGAAGUGUAAAUUAGUCAUUAGUUAAUGAAAUUUCUUCUCAAACGCAUCUCGGAACUUGAUUAUUACAUAGAACAGAGUUACCAGUUUAAUAGCAAUAACAGGUAUUAGUAUGAAAAUAAUUAUUAAAAAAAACUCCAAUACAGUUCAAUGUGAUAACAGACAAAUUCGUUUUUCGUACAAUGUUCACAAAAGAUUCUUCAGAAAAGGUGAUAACAAAACAAAAGACUAAGACUAUUUAAAUAUAAAGUUAUGCUGUUGGUCCAACCUAUGAAUUAGUUAACUAUAUCAUUUAUAUCAAGGUUCUCUUUAGUCAAAGAUUCUCUAAUCUUUGCAAAUAUCUUAAUUCCAAAAAAUACAAUGCAAAACUAACUGAUCCUACAGUGUGAUGCUUGGUGUGAAAAAUAUGCCUCUAUUCGACUAAUCUGACUUCCUAUAAGAGAUAAUCCGGUAAAUCAAUAUUGAAGUAUUGCUUGAUUACUAGUACGUAUAAACAUUGAAAAGAACCGGUAUUCUGAUUUUUAAAAAAAAAUUAAUUCGCCGUUUUUCCAAACGCCAUUCAUAAAUUGGAUAGCUAAUGUUUUCGACAUCAUGAAAAAAAACAAUUAAAAAAUAAAAAGACCCUAAUGUACUGCAGUAUUUCUUGUUAUCUCAUAUGUGGGGCCGUGCGUGACAAAUCAAGUGAAGACACAACAAAGAACAAGAACCUUAAUCCCCACACGAACUAAUAUAUUCCCCAAUGUACCGUAACCUUAUUCGCCCGGACAAAACUAAGAGAGUAGAUUCUCUUCAGGAGUUUUAAACAAAAAACAGAGGAAAUUGUGAUUCCUUGAUUCCUUUGACUUACCUUUGAUGACAGCUUGUUUUUGUCUUGCUCGUGUUUAGAUUUCCAAGACAAGAACAAGAUAACUUCAUAGUUGAAAAAAUAUUCUCUAGGACUUUACACACAACACUGAAGCUAAUUGUUCCGUCGAGUCUAGGUUACCACUACAUCGUCAUAGUUCUAAUCUAACGAGUAUAAACCUUACCUGUAUAUAAACUCUUGAUGAAAAAUGCAAACUCACUCACUCACUCAGUCAUACACACACACACACACACACACACACUUGAAAAAACACAAUAGAUAUAUAGAAAACGAGAGAAGAAAGAGAAGAGAAGAAUGGCAACCGGAGCAGCAGAUUUAAUGUUUCGAUGUGUGUUUGACGGAAGCUUGUCUAUGGGUGACAUGGACAUCGAGCGGAGGCCAUAUCAUCGUGACUGCAAAUGUGCUUUGCAUGAAACUAAAGGAACGUGCUCGCAUAGUAAUGGGAAUAUUUCGUUCCCGAAGAGAGAAUUUAAGAGCAAAUGUUCCUUGUCCCUAUCAUCUUCCAAUAUCUCUUUUCAAUCUUCUUAUCUUCAUAUUUCGAAAAAAAUAGAUUCUAGUUGCAGCAUAGUGCAAUGUCAAAACUCAGCAGAUAGAAAGCCUGUUUAAUUUCUUUGUAUUUUUUUCUCAGCUUUUAAGUUCUUUUGGCACUCCUUCAGACAUAUGUAGUACUCGAGGAAGUGAAAAUUAGGAUAUUAGUUAAUGAAAUUUAUUCUCAAACACAUUUCGGAACUUGCUCUCGCAUUACUCCGUUUGACGAUCUUUUCUGUCAAAAUUCAGUAGCUUAAGUAUAUACACAACUCUUCUAUAUACGAUCUUUAGUCGAUAUUAAUGUAUCACUAUUUCACAAAAGUCAUUUAAAACUUGUUCUCACCCUUGGUGCUCAAUUUGCUGUGAGCUGAUUCUUUGCAUCCUCGCAAGAAUGAUAUUCAAAUAAACUAUGAAUGAGACUAAUGUUUCCUCAAAGAACUCAAAAAAUAAUACGACAAAAUGUGCCUGAUUCUUCUAACUACUAUUGCACUGAUUUCUUGAUAUUAUAAAAUUAAACAAGUAAUAAACUAUAGAAAACACGAGACUAUCUGGCUGCUAAAAUGACAUAAAUAACAAUGCCAAAGCCUACUUCUUGAAUAUAAAGAUUCUAGAUGCGAAAGUUCGUUAUUUAAGUCCCCGAGGUAGCCAAGUAUAUUAUAUACAAGCAUAUAUAUAUAUGCUUUCAGAAUGGCUGUGUCUGCUUGUGCUUGUAAUUAUUGACUACCUUCUUGUACUACACAAACAGUUGUCACUUGGAAUAUCUUCCCCAAAUACUGUGAAUUUUUUUAACUUUCUUGAUAGUUAGAUAGAUCGAUUUGUUUUAGAAUUGAGUGAAAAAUAGUUUAAUUAACAGAAACAUUUAUCGUAGGACUAGUUUCCUGGUCGUAUGAAGAGUAAAACAAGAAGCAUUACACGCACACAUAUAUAUAUAUAUAUACAAAUAUUCCUUUCAUUGGAAUCAACUAUGCAUAAUAAUCUGAAGUACUCCAAAACAAAGGUUAAAAAAACAGGUGAUCGUCUCAUUCUUGAGCUUUCCUCUAAAUAUUGUGUCUUUAUUACCCAUAUCUUCCGGGCCCCACGCUACACGGAUUUCAGAUUUUCCCAAUGAAAUAUUGUUUUCAUCUAACUCAGAUAACAUGUACUGUAUUCCCAUAGUUUAACUAACUCAAGGCUCAAACUCCCUUGAAUUUUACGGAGAAAAAAAUAAAUAAAAAA
Molecule: non-coding RNA, 3334 nt
Organism: Erythranthe guttata (spotted monkey flower)
Lineage: Eukaryota; Viridiplantae; Streptophyta; Magnoliopsida; Lamiales; Phrymaceae
Source: RefSeq, a predicted model, not a curated record